ACGCUGGCGGCACGCCUAACACAUGCAAGUCGAACGAAGUAUCAAUACUUAGUGGCAGACGGGUGAGUAACAUGUGGGUAUCUUCCCUUUGGCCUGGAAUAACACGAGGAAACUUGUGCUAAUACCGGAUAAGUCUUUACGGAGAAAGCUUUAUGCACCAUUGGAUGAGCCCGCACUUGAUUAGUUUGUUGGUGGGGUAAUGGCCUACCAAGACUUUGAUCAAUAGCUGAUUUGAGAGGAUGAUCAGCCACAUUGGGACUGAGACACGGCCCAAACUCCUACGGGAGGCAGCAGUGGGGAAUCUUGCACAAUGGAGGAAACUCUGAUGCAGCGAUGCCGCGUGAGUGAAGAAGGCCUUUGGGUUGUAAAGCUCUUUCGUCGGGGAAGAAAAUGACUGUACCCGAAUAAGAAGGUCCGGCUAACUUCGUGCCAGCAGCCGCGGUAAUACGAAGGGACCUAGCGUAGUUCGGAAUUACUGGGCUUAAAGAGUUCGUAGGUGGUUGAAAAAGUUGGUGGUGAAAUCCCAGAGCUUAACUCUGGAACUGCCAUCAAAACUUUUCAGCUAGAGUUUGAUAGAGGAAAGCAGAAUUUCUAGUGUAGAGGUGAAAUUCGUAGAUAUUAGAAAGAAUACCAAUUGCGAAGGCAGCUUUCUGGAUCAUUACUGACACUGAGGAACGAAAGCAUGGGUAGCGAAGAGGAUUAGAUACCCUCGUAGUCCAUGCCGUAAACGAUGUGUGUUAGACGUUGGAAAUUUAUUUUCAGUGUCGCAGCGAAAGCGAUAAACACACCGCCUGGGGAGUACGACCGCAAGGUUAAAACUCAAAUGAAUUGACGGGGACCCGCACAAGUAGUGGAGCAUGUGGUUUAAUUCGAAGAUACGCGCAGAACUUUACCAACACUUGACAUGUUCGUCGCGACUUUAAGAGAUUAAAGUUUUCGGUUCGGCCGGACGAAACACAGGUGCUGCAUGGCUGUCGUCAGCUCGUGUCGUGAGAUGUUGGGUUAAGUCCCGCAACGAGCGCAACCCUCACUUUUAGUUGCCAUCAUUAAGUUGGGCACUCUGAAAGAACUGCCAGUGAUAAGCUGGAGGAAGGUGGGGAUGACGUCAAGUCCUCAUGGCCCUUACGUGUUGGGCUACACACGUGCUACAAUGGUAUCUACAACAGGAAGCAAGACGGCGACGUUAAGCAAAUCCUUAAAAGAUACCUCAGUUCGGAUUGUACUCUGCAACUCGAGUACAUGAAGCUGGAAUUACUAGUAAUCGUGGAUCAGCGUGCCACGGUGAAUGCGUUCCCGGGUCUUGUACACACCGCCCGUCACACCAUGGGAGUUGGUUCUACCUUAAGGCAAGGUUUAAAACCCUUGACCACGGUAUAGUCAGCGACUGGGGU
Molecule: ribosomal RNA, 1391 nt
Filed under: uncultured bacterium
Lineage: Bacteria
Description: 16S ribosomal RNA
Rfam family: Bacterial small subunit ribosomal RNA
Source: RNAcentral